CGAAGGUCCCGAUGCGGUCGCUCCCCGUGAGGGGAGAGGAAAGUCCGAACUCCGACGGGCAGCAUGCUCGCCAACGGCGAGGCGCGGUGACGCGACGGAAAGUGCAACAGAGAGCAGACCGCCGCGGCCCUCGUGGUCGCGGUAAGGGUGAAACGGUGCGGUAAGAGCGCACCGCCCGGCCGGCGACGGUCCGGGGCACGGCAAACCCCAUGCGGAGCAAGACCGAAUAGGGGAGCGUGACGCGGGCCGCCCGUCCCGUCUUCGCGGUUCGCCGCGAGCGCGCUUCCGGGUAGGUCGCUGGAGGCCGGCGGCAACGACGGCUCGAGAGGAAUGACCGCGACCGGCUUUCGGGUCGGUACAGAAUUCGGCUUACCGGGACCUUCGCCCU
This 388-nucleotide RNase P RNA is filed under the name Acidobacteriota bacterium. Its description in RNAcentral is "Acidobacteria bacterium (activated sludge metagenome) RNase P RNA component class A". It matches the Rfam family "Bacterial RNase P class A". From Rfam's summary of the family: Ribonuclease P (RNase P) is a ubiquitous endoribonuclease, found in archaea, bacteria and eukarya as well as chloroplasts and mitochondria. Its best characterised activity is the generation of mature 5'-ends of tRNAs by cleaving the 5'-leader elements of precursor-tRNAs. The record is from RNAcentral. Lineage: Bacteria; Pseudomonadati; Acidobacteriota. RNAcentral also lists the same sequence under 1 other name.